ACGGUUGCGAAAAUUGUGGCAAAAUUAGCUAAAAAAUAAAAAAUUCUCUACAUAGUACGAACUGUGGCUAAAAUAGGCGGGUAAAAUUUCAUUCCCUCCCUUUAUUUUUUCAUUUGCCUCUUUUUCUAUUAUUUCCCUCUACUCACUCUCUUUUCUCUCACUUCACCCAAAACCAACCCCCAAAAUCUAAAUCGAUUUCUGCCCAAAAUUCAACUCUCUUCUUCAAAGUCGAUUUCUGUCAAAAGCCGCUUCAAAUAGUUGUGUAAUGUGAUACUUCAAUCGGAGAAGUUACUACUCAAAAGAUGCAAUCAGAUCGAGUUUGGAACUU
Solanum tuberosum (potato) is the source of this 328-nucleotide long non-coding RNA. RefSeq lists it as uncharacterized. The transcript has 2 exons. The record is from RefSeq and is a predicted model, not a curated record. NCBI's taxonomy places the organism in Eukaryota, Viridiplantae, Streptophyta, Magnoliopsida, Solanales, Solanaceae.